This is a small nucleolar RNA of Leguminivora glycinivorella, 134 nucleotides long. The record is from RefSeq and is a predicted model, not a curated record. NCBI's taxonomy places the organism in Eukaryota, Metazoa, Arthropoda, Insecta, Lepidoptera, Tortricidae.
AUUUGGCCCGAUCGAAGCUGAGUCAAACUCCAUGUUUGUCGUCAGUCAAAGCGCGGCCCACAGUAUUAUUUGGCAUAUGGUCGCACGACGCAUUGACAAUAUGGGAUCGUGCAUUACCCAUGUCAAAUACACAU